CGGCUUCGACGCACACUCACNGACGGACAAACACACCCUGCCCCCGCCCACCCCGAAAAGAGAGCGAGAGAGAGCGGCCGUUACUACGUCUGUNNGAGAGCUGCGGCNUGAUACCUUGCGUGUAUCGCUGGGCAGCCGGCCGAGCGACCGGGGGUUUGACGCGUUCCGUUUUACCGGCAACGCGUCAGUCACCGCAGCAGAGCCGAAGACCGACAUCUAGCGGGUCGCGACAUUCUACUAGGGAAGAAGUGCACGACGACAAACGCCGGAAGCCGGCGUCGCUGACGAUGAAUCUCUCCGUUCGAUCUUUUGGGUUUCCUAGGUUUUGAAACGGUUGAACGGUUUCACGUACUCUUGAACUCUCUCUUCAAAGUUCUUUUCAACUUUU
Molecule: ribosomal RNA, 388 nt
Filed under: Monomorium pharaonis (pharaoh ant)
Lineage: Eukaryota; Metazoa; Arthropoda; Insecta; Hymenoptera; Formicidae
Description: partial 28S ribosomal RNA
Source: RNAcentral